UAUUAAAGGUUUUAUUUUGAAUAGAUUUUUAAAAAAAGUUAUUAGUUUUAGUAAUAAAAUUUGAAAAGAUUUUUAAAAUUAUAGAAUAAUAGUACAGUAAAGGAAUAUUUUAUAUUUUAUAAAGAAUAUUUUAUUUAUUGUACCUUUUGUAUCAGGGUUUAUUAAAAAGGUAUUUUGGUUUUAAAUUUUCUCGAAUUUAUAGGAGCUAAAUAUAUAUAUAUAUUAAUGUUGAAUAAUUAUUUAUAAUAUAUCUUUUGGUAUUAGACGUUAGUCGGUUUUAAAUAUAUCUAGUUUUUUAAGAAAUUAAUUUAAUUAAGCUGAUUUCUAAAAUAGUUUUAAAUAAAAAAUUAAUUUGUGAAUCAAGAAAUAUUUAAGGGGAUAAGCUUUUAAAUAGAUAUUUAAAAAUGUGGAUUUAUAGAAAGUUGAAUAGGAAUAGAAGUUUUCAUUUUUUGUAGUGUUUUAUAUCAAGAUUUUUGGUAAAGUAAUUUUUAAUUUUUUAAAUUUUUUAUUAAAAUAUUAGAUGGAUUAAUAAUUUUUAGGGAAUAAUGAUAAAAUUAGUAUAAUUUACUGUAAUCGAUGGUUGAGGAUGAAAGGUUUAAUUAAGUAACUUGGCAAAUUUAUUUUCUGCCUGUUUAUUAAAAACAUGGCCUUUUGAUAAUAAUUUAAGGUCCGGCCUGCCCAAUGAUAAAUUAAAUGGCCGCGGUACUCUGACCGUGCAAAGGUAGCAUAAUCAUUAGUUUUUUAAUUAAAAGCUGGAAUGAACGGUCAAACAAGAAAAUUACUGUCUCAAUUUAAUUGUUUUAGAAUUUUAUUUUUAAGUGAGAAAGCUUAAAUAUUUUUAGGGGACGAGAAGACCCUAUAGAAUUUUAUAUAUUUUUGUGGAUUGUGUUUUUAGUAAAAUUAUUAUGAUUUAUAAGGGUUUAUUUUGUUGGGGUGAUAGAAAAAUUUAGUUAACUUUUUUUAAUUUUUUGUACUUAUAUGUAUUUAAGUGAUCCAUUUUUUAUGAUUAUAAGAUUAAAUUACCUUAGGGAUAACAGCGUUAUUAGUUUGGAGAGUUCUUAUUGAUAAACUAGUUUGCGACCUCGAUGUUGGAUUAAAAUAAACUUUUGGUGAAGAGGCUGAAAAAGUUAAGUCUGUUCGACUUUUAAAAUUUUACAUGAUCUGAGUUUAAACCGGCGUGAGCCAGGUUGGUUUCUAUCUUUAGAAAGGUUAAAUAUUUUAGUACGAAAGGACCAGAUAUUUGUUUAAUAAAUUAUUUUAGGAUAUUAAU
This 1270-nucleotide ribosomal RNA is filed under the name Hemisodorcus donckieri. RNAcentral's name for it is "16S ribosomal RNA". The stretch from base 1030 to 1189 matches the Rfam family "Archaeal large subunit ribosomal RNA", at positions 2542 to 2701 of the family's 2987-position model. Lineage: Eukaryota; Metazoa; Arthropoda; Insecta; Coleoptera; Lucanidae. The record is from RNAcentral.